CACGGGGGGAGCAAGCGUUGUUCGGAAUCACUGGGCGUAAAGGGCGUGUAGGCGGUUUGGUAAGUGGGAUGUGAAAUGCCUCGGCUCACCCGAGGACCGGCAUCCCAAACUGCCAAGCUUGAGUAUGGGAGAGGAUGUGGGAAUUCCUGGUGUAGCGGUGAAAUGCGUAGAUAUCUGGAGGAACACCGGUGGCGAAGGCGGCAUUCUGGACCGACAUUGACGCUGAGGAGCGAAAGCCAGGGGAGCAAACGGG
RNAcentral lists this ribosomal RNA (253 nucleotides) under uncultured bacterium. RNAcentral's name for it is "partial 16S ribosomal RNA". It matches the Rfam family "Bacterial small subunit ribosomal RNA", at positions 524 to 776 of the family's 1533-position model. The record is from RNAcentral.